UGGGGAAUAUUGCACAAUGGGCGAAAGCCUGGUGCAGCAACGCCGCGUGAGUGAUGAAGGCCUUCGGGUUGUAAAGCUCUGUCUUUUGGGACGAUAAUGACGGUACCAAAGGAGGAAGCCACGGCUAACUACGUGCCAGUAGCCGCGGUAAUACGUAGGUGGCAAGCGUUGUCCGGAUUUACUGGGCGUAAAGGAUGCGUAGGCGGAUUUUUAAGUGAGAUGUGAAAACCCUAAGCUUAACUUGGGGACUGCAUUUCAUACUGGAAAUCUAGAGUGCGGGAGAGGAGAAUGGAAUUCCUAGUGUAGCGGUGAAAUGCGUAGAGAUUAGGAAGAACACCAGUGGCGAAGGCGAUUCUCUGGACCGUAACUGACGCUGAGGCAUGAAAGCGUGGGUAGCAAAACAGGAUUAGAUACCCUGAUAGUCCACGCCGUAAACGAUGAGUACUAGGUGUAGGAGGUAUCGACCCCUUCUGUGCCGCAGUUAACACAAUAAGUACUCCGCCUGGGAAGUACGAUCGCAAGAUUAAAAACUUAAAUGAAUUGACGGGGGUCAUAGCUG
Molecule: ribosomal RNA, 559 nt
Filed under: uncultured bacterium
Lineage: Bacteria
Description: partial 16S ribosomal RNA
Rfam family: Bacterial small subunit ribosomal RNA
Source: RNAcentral